CAAUGUGACAACUGGUUUGAUGUCUGGGGCCGGGGGACCCAGGUCACUGUCUCCUCAGGGACUGCAAGCCCCCCAGCGCUGUUCCCCCUGGUCUCCUGUGAGAACUCCCCCCUAGACACGAGCACUGUGGUGCUGGGCUGCCUGGCCCGGGACUUCCUACCCGGUGGCGUCACCUUCUCCUGGAACUACAAGAACUCAUCUGUCAUCAGUAGCUUCAGGAGCUUUCCAGAUAUCCUGAGGGAGGGCAAGUACACGGCCACCUCGCAGGUGCUGCUGCCCUCCAAAGACGUCCUACUGGGCACAGACAACCACCUGGUGUGCCAGGUGGAGCACAACAAAGUCAAAAAGAAUGUGAACGUGCCUCUUCCAGUGAUGCUGGAGCAGCCCCCCACCGUGACUGUGUUCAUCCCACCCCGCGACGCUUUCUCCAGCACCAGCCCCCGCAGGUCCAGGCUCAUCUGCCAGGCCACAGACUUCAGCCCCCGUCAGGUCAAAGUGUCCUGGCUGCACGAUGGAAAGCGGCUGGAGUCUGGUUUCUCCACGGGCCCAGUGGAGGCUCAGGCCCAAGGGUCUGGGCCCUCCACCUUCAAGGUCACCAGUACACUGACCAUCAAUGAGAGUGACUGGCUGAACCAGAACGUGUUCACCUGCCGCGUGGAUCACAGAGGCCUGACCUUCCUGAAGAACGUGUCCUCCAUGUGCAGCACCACUGCAGGUCCAGCCACGAGCAUCCAAGUCUUCACCAUCCCUCCCUCAUUUGCCAGCAUCUUCCUCAGCAAGUCGACCAAGCUGUCCUGCCUGGUCACAGACCUGGCCACCUAUGAUAGCCUCAUCAUCACCUGGACCCGUCAGAAUGGCGAGCCCCUGAAGACCCACACCAACAUCUCUGAAAGCCACCCCAAUGCCACCUUCAGUGUCAUGGGUGAGGCCAGCAUCUGUGAGGACGACUGGAACUCAGGGGAGAGAUUCACGUGCACAGUGGCCCACACGGACCUGCCCUCACCACUAAAGCAGAGCAUCUCCAAGCCCAAGAAUGUGGCCCUGCACAAGCCCGAUGUUUACAUGCUGCCUCCAGCCCGGGAAGAGCUAAACUUGCGGGAGGCAGCCACCAUCACCUGCCUGGUGAAGGGCUUCUCCCCUGCAGACGUGUUUGUGCAGUGGAUGCAGAGGGGGCAGCCUGUGGCCUCAGACAAGUAUGUGACCAGCGCCUCGAUGCCUGAGCCCCAUGCUCCAGGCCUCUACUUUGCCCACAGCUUCCUGACUGUGACCGAGGAGGACUGGAACUCAGGGGAGGCCUUCACCUGUGUCGUGGCCCAUGAGGCCCUGCCCAACAGGGUCACCGAGAGGACCGUGGACAAGUCCACUGAGGGAGAGGUGAGUGCUGAGGAGGAGGGCUUCGAGAGUCUGUGGACCACCGCCUCCACCUUCAUCGUCCUCUUCCUGCUGAGCCUCUUCUACAGCACCACUGUCACCUUGUUCAAGGUAGAGAAGCCCAGGGGCACCACGCUGGAGGAGGCUGCUUGCAGGGAGCAUGAUGGCACAGGGCCCAGCCUGUGCUGAACAUCAGUCCUGGGGACUCUUGGAUGCCCUCCUGCCUGGUCAUCGUGGCCCUACUCCUGCCCCAACAGUGGGAAAUACUAUCCAUACUGUCUCUGUCACCUCAGGUGAAAUGACUGCCCAGUGAGAGAGUGUCAGAGACCAAAGAGACGGACCAGAAGGUCUCCGCUGCGAGCCCAGAGCACCUGCAUCCCAUCCUGUGCCCUGCUGUGCUUAGAUCCUGCCCUGCAGCUCUGAGCUCGAAAAGCGGCUUCCAUCUGACCAGCCAGGUGCCCACCAAUGUGGGGUGGGGUGAGGGUCUGCCCAAGCCUGUGCUGCCCUGCACACAUUUGCUGCCCUAAAAUAAAC
This is a non-coding RNA of Otolemur garnettii (small-eared galago), 1905 nucleotides long. NCBI's taxonomy places the organism in Eukaryota, Metazoa, Chordata, Mammalia, Primates, Galagidae. The record is from the annotation of a RefSeq genome assembly.